RNAcentral lists this long non-coding RNA (246 nucleotides) under Elaeis guineensis (African oil palm). Its description in RNAcentral is "long non-coding RNA (EGUI_LNC078610)". Lineage: Eukaryota; Viridiplantae; Streptophyta; Magnoliopsida; Arecales; Arecaceae. The record is from RNAcentral.
AUCUUUUUCAGUUUGUUUCUUGAUCAUAUAUUAAUACUCUUUGAACUUAUCAAAGGCUUCGAAUUUAUGUUUCAUAAGAUACACAUAUCCGAACCUUAAUAAAUCUUUCGUAAAGGUGAUAAAUUGGAGUAUCCUCCUCUGGUCUGAGUUAUCAUUGAUUCACAUACAUCUGUAUGUACUAGGACUAGCAAUUCAUUUGCCCUCUCUCUAUAUUCAAAAAAUGGAGUCUUAGUCAUCUUACCCAUG